Molecule: ribosomal RNA, 253 nt
Filed under: uncultured bacterium
Lineage: Bacteria
Description: partial 16S ribosomal RNA
Rfam family: Bacterial small subunit ribosomal RNA
Source: RNAcentral
UACAGAGGGCUCAAGCGUUGUUCGGAUUCAUUGGGCGUAAAGGGUGCGUAGGUGGCGCCGUAAGUCGGGUGUGAAAUUUCGGAGCUUAACUCCGAAACUGCAUUCGAUACUGCGGUGCUUGAGGACUGGAGAGGAGACUGGAAUUCAUGGUGUAGCAGUGAAAUGCGUAGAGAUCAUGAGGAAGACCAGUGGCGAAGGCGGGUCUCUGGACAGUUCCUGACACUGAGGCACGAAGGCCAGGGGAGCAAACGGG